This 447-nucleotide long non-coding RNA is filed under the name Panax ginseng (ginseng). RNAcentral describes it as "long non-coding RNA (PGIN_LNC012977)". The record is from RNAcentral. Lineage: Eukaryota; Viridiplantae; Streptophyta; Magnoliopsida; Apiales; Araliaceae.
CUCCAAUUGUGUCUUCAUAAAAAACUGCAUUCUCUGCAACUCCAGCUCCUUGGCAAACUUCAUCCUCUGCUUCUCCAUUUCCACUAGCUGCUGCACCUUGGAGCUCUCUGCGUGCUCAUAUGCUUCCCCAAAUUUCAGUAUAGCCCGGGUCAGCUCUCUAACCGAAUUCCCCCAAUUGGCAUUCUUCUCCUCUUUAUCUUUCUCUUUCUCUCUCUCUUUCUCUUUUCCUUUCGCUCCUACUAAAUACGCCCCUGGCCUCACUGCGCUCAUCAAAUUAAUUUCCCUCUGUUGAACCCUAGGCCUUUUAGGCUCAUACGUCUCCGGUGGAAAACUAUCAGUGGAGUCUGGAGACUGCUCGUCCGGUUCGGAAGGCGACGAUUCCGAAUCGAUCGGUGCCGGCCUUUUAAACUGUUUUGGCUGUUGUUUUUGGAAUUGAGGGACUGAUCU